Long non-coding RNA from Passer domesticus (house sparrow), 1003 nucleotides. RefSeq lists it as uncharacterized. The record is from RefSeq and is a predicted model, not a curated record. Lineage: Eukaryota; Metazoa; Chordata; Aves; Passeriformes; Passeridae. The transcript is spliced from 5 exons.
GUCAGCAGUGGAUUAUUUUCCUCAUUCUUUUCUCACACAGACACAUUCCAAAGCCAUGAAAUCCUUAUGUGGAUUUUAGGUCCCAACUAUGAUCUUGAGAACCUUUGUUACCAUAUUAACUUGUAGACUACUGAGGGGUUUUUUUUGUUUUCUCUUUUCCUCUCCCCUGGUAUUUUCACCCCUGAAAUACACCUGAGUGAUUGUCUCUGCAUACACAGAGGCACAAUUAUUUCAAUAUCAUAGAAUCAUGGAAGGAUCUGGUGGGAAGAGACUUCUGGAGGGUACAGAGAUCAGAUUUCUACCUGCAGUGAGCCCAAAGCCCAGCUCCUCUCAGCUUCUCCUCGCAUGUCCUGUGCUUGUGCACCCUGAGCUAUCUGGUGGCCCUCUGCCUGUCCCUCUUGUGCCAUGUCCCUGCUGAACUGGGUCCCCACAGCUGUCCCCAGCCUGCUCCAGGCGUGGUAUGACCCGUUCUGCCCAGAGGGGAAGAGUCAAUUCCUUGGAUUUGUAGUCCUGGCCCUCCAGAUGUGGCCUGCAGGGUUUUUGUUGGCCCAGUCCUCCUGUUCUACAGGAUCCCCCUGGAUUCCAGCUCUGACAUUCAGCAGCAAAUUGGCCCUGUUUUGUAGUACUCCAAACUGCCUUAGCUGAGGUGCAGCGUGUUCUGUCUGAAAAUGUCACUGGAAACAGCUCAGUCAGCCUUCACUCUGAUGAAACAAUUGUGCUCUACAACUCCACCUAAUGCAGAGGAAUGUGUGCCAGUGUUAAACCCUUUCCCUGAGGAUUUGCGUGGCUUCAGAACACAGGAAUGCUGAUGUCCUGGCCGUGGCUCAGCUGGCAGUGAUCCAAACAAGAGUUGGCCAGGAGCAAAUCAAAUUAUCAGAGAGAUUAGAAGAAUUUGAUGAAGAUGGACCAGAACAACUGCAGGACAAAGCUUCUGCACAGGAACCUUAAACACAGUGCUUGUAUAACUUGCUAAAGAGUUCAGAUUAAAAGAUUAUGAAACAAA